GGAAGGAUCAUUCUUGUACUUGUCAUCUUUACAGAUGUCAUACAAACCAACAACUGUGUGGACUAUACCUUUGACUGUUGUCGAAGCAUGGCCUUGGUAGAAGGCGGAGUGAAACUGCAACAAGUAGUAGUAGCUUGCGCACUACCGUUAACGGUCUUUCGGCGACUCUUUACCACGUACAACAACAACCAACCAAUAUACUUAUAAACUAUAUAUACCAAAUACAACUUUUAGCAACGGAUCUCUAGGCUCUCGCAACGAUGAAGAACGCAGCGAAAUGCGAUAAAGUAGUGUGAAUUGCAGACCGUGAAUCAUCGAAUCUUUGAACGCACAUUGCACUGUCUGGAACUCCGGGCAGUAUAUCUGUUUGAGCAUCAAUUUCUUACUCUUGUAUCUACGUGAACAGGCCUUGUGCUUGUUUCGGCAGAUUGCAGGGAAUUGAAGCGUAGCCCACCAAAGCUUGCUUCUAAAUAACAGAGUUACGAUUCUCGUCAACUGCCACACAGUUAAGUCCGCAAGGAAUCUCUGUUGCAAGAAAGACGUAGUUAAAAUGUAGCCUUAAACUUAUGAAUGGGUUCUCUCUAGCUAGCUAGUGUAGAACUCUGAACUUUGAUCUCAAAUCAGAUAAGAUUACCCGCUGAACUUAAGCAAUUAAUAAGCGGAGGAAAAGAAACUAACCAGGAUUCCCUCAGUAACGGCGAGUGAAGUGGGAAUAGCUCAAAUUUGUAAUCUCCUUGGAGAAUUGUAGUUUGUAGAGGCGUUUUCGAUGGCUAGCCGGGAACAUGUCCCUUGGGAUAGGGCGUCAUAGAGGGUGAGAAUCCCGUAUAUGGUCCGGUUAUGUCACAUUUGAUUACGUCUUCAAAGAGUCGGGUUGUUUGGGGACUGCAGCCCUAACUGGGUGGUAUAUUCCAUCUAAAGCUAAAUACAGGCGAGAGACCGAUAGCGAACAAGUACUGUGAAGGAAAGAUGAAAAGAACUUUGAAAAGAGAGUUAAAUAGUACGUGAAAUUGCUAAAAGGGAAACGCUUGAAACCAGUGUAACUAGGUCGAAAUCAGCCAUUCACUACGGAUGGUGCACUUUUGGCCUGGUUGGUCAACAUCAGUUUCGUGUGGUGUACAACUGGUCGGGAAAGUAGCUCCUCGAGUGUUAUAGACCGGCCAAUUCCACCUUGCGAGACUGAGGAAUGCCUUUGCAGGAUGUUGACGAAAUGGUUUUAAACGACCCGUCUUGAAACACGGACCAAGGAGUCUAACAUAUGUGCGAGUAUUUGGGUGUUAAAACUCGAAUGCGUAAUGAAAGUGAACGUAGGUGGGAUCCCUCUGGGUGCACCAUCGACCGAUCUGGAUUUUUAAUGAUAGAUUUGAGUAAGAGCACAGAUGUUGGGACCCGAAAGAUGGUGAACUUUGCCUGCAUAGGGCGAAGCCAGAGGAAACUCUGGUGGAGGCUCGUAGCGAUUCUGACGUGCAAAUCGAUCGUCAAAUGUGGGUAAAGGGGCGAAAGACUAAUCGAACCAUCUAGUAGCUGGUUCCCUC
Molecule: unclassified non-coding RNA, 1532 nt
Filed under: uncultured fungus
Lineage: Eukaryota; Fungi
Description: sequence contains 18S rRNA gene, ITS1, 5.8S rRNA gene, ITS2, 28S rRNA gene
Rfam family: Eukaryotic large subunit ribosomal RNA (bases 611-1532)
Source: RNAcentral